This 557-nucleotide ribosomal RNA is filed under the name uncultured bacterium. RNAcentral's name for it is "partial 16S ribosomal RNA". It matches the Rfam family "Bacterial small subunit ribosomal RNA", at positions 355 to 902 of the family's 1533-position model. The record is from RNAcentral.
UGGGGAAUUUUGGACAAUGGGCGAAAGCCUGAUCCAGCAAUGCCGCGUGUGUGAAGAAGGCCUUCGGGUUGUAAAGCACUUUUGUCCGGAAAGAAAUGGCUCUGGUUAAUACCUGGGGUCGAUGACGGUACCGGAAGAAUAAGGACCGGCUAACUACGUGCCAGCAGCCGCGGUAAUACGUAGGGUCCAAGCGUUAAUCGGAAUUACUGGGCGUAAAGCGUGCGCAGGCGGUUGUGCAAGACCGAUGUGAAAUCCCCGAGCUUAACUUGGGAAUUGCAUUGGUGACUGCACGGCUAGAGUGUGUCAGAGGGGGGUAGAAUUCCACGUGUAGCAGUGAAAUGCGUAGAGAUGUGGAGGAAUACCGAUGGCGAAGGCAGCCCCCUGGGAUAACACUGACGCUCAUGCACGAAAGCGUGGGGAGCAAACAGGAUUAGAUACCCUGGUAGUCCACGCCCUAAACGAUGUCAACUAGUUGUUGGGGAUUCAUUUCCUUAGUAACGUAGCUAACGCGUGAAGUUUGGACCGCCUGGGGAGUACGGUCGCAAGAUUAAAAGCUC